This 253-nucleotide ribosomal RNA is filed under the name uncultured bacterium. RNAcentral describes it as "partial 16S ribosomal RNA". It matches the Rfam family "Bacterial small subunit ribosomal RNA", at positions 524 to 776 of the family's 1533-position model. The record is from RNAcentral.
UACGGGGGGGGCAAGCGUUGUUCGGAAUUACUGGGCGUAAAGGGCUCGUAGGCGGCCAGCUAAGUCAGACGUGAAAUCCCUCGGCUUAACCGUGGAACUGCCUGUCAGACUGCAUGGCUUGAGACCAGGAGAGGUGAGUGGAAUUCCCAGUGUAGCGGUGAAAUGCGUAGAUAUUGGGAGGAACACCAGUGGCGAAGGCGGCUCACUGGACUGGUACUGACGCUGAGGCGCGAAAGCGUGGGGAGCAAACAGG